UGGGGAAUUUUGGACAAUGGGCGAAAGCCUGAUCCAGCCAUGCCGCGUGCAGGAUGAAGGCCUUCGGGUUGUAAACUGCUUUUGUACGGAACGAAAAGACUCCUUCUAAUAAAGGGGGUCCAUGACGGUACCGUAAGAAUAAGCACCGGCUAACUACGUGCCAGCAGCCGCGGUAAUACGUAGGGUGCGAGCGUUAAUCGGAAUUACUGGGCGUAAAGCGUGCGCAGGCGGUUAUAUAAGACGGAUGUGAAAUCCCCGGGCUCAACCUGGGACCUGCAUUUGUGACCGUAUAGCUAGAGUACGGUAGAGGGGGAUGGAAUUCCGCGUGUAGCAGUGAAAUGCGUAGAUAUGCGGAGGAACACCGAUGGCGAAGGCAAUCCCCUGGACCUGUACUGACGCUCAUGCACGAAAGCGUGGGGAGCAAACA
This 427-nucleotide ribosomal RNA is filed under the name uncultured bacterium. Its description in RNAcentral is "bacterial SSU rRNA". It matches the Rfam family "Bacterial small subunit ribosomal RNA", at positions 355 to 774 of the family's 1533-position model. The record is from RNAcentral.